Long non-coding RNA from Prinia subflava (tawny-flanked prinia), 8970 nucleotides. RefSeq lists it as uncharacterized. The record is from RefSeq and is a predicted model, not a curated record. The transcript has 4 exons. Lineage: Eukaryota; Metazoa; Chordata; Aves; Passeriformes; Cisticolidae.
UGUCCGGGGGAGCUCCAGAGGCGCGGGGACUCCUUCCCUGCGAGAGCAGCGGUGUGGGGUUCCGAGCCCCCCGCGGGGCUGUGUCCGCUCGGGGACAGUCACCGCAGCGGGAGCGGCUCUGCCAGCACAGCGGUGCUGCCGCGGCGGCUGCAGCGGGCCAGGGCUUCCCUUUUCCAGCCCCGCUGCAAAACGGGGCCCAUGUGUUUCAGCACGAAGCCUUGUUGGUGUGCAGGGCAUCUGGGUGCAGGAAGGAUGGGCACAGCUCAGCUGCAGGCAGCUUUCCAUCAGCACCAGGAUGGACAAGACCAUGAGGACAAGCAUGAGGACACAGCCCAGCCUUCACUGCUCCAGCCUGGCAAGCCUGCAGGGAGCUGCAGGAACCAGAGCCAAUCCACCCUAGGGCCAUUGACAGCCAUGCUCCAACACCAGCAUUUCAAAAGCUCAGGGCCCCAACCCAGCGCUGCUGAGGACUGGCCCGAGCUUUUCCCACCGUGGCUGCUUGGAAGAACUGGAUGAGGCCAGGGUCUGCCAAAUCCAACCCCCAGAGAAUGACACAGAACAGCAGUGUGGGGUUUUUGAUUAUUAUUCAAAGGAAGACAGAAACAUUUGAUAACAUGUCAAGCACAUCAGGGUACUGAUGAUAAUUGCAGCAGGGACAAGAAGUUGCUUUGGGCAAGGGCUGUCGUCCUGCUCUUGGUAAAAGCAUCUUAAACCACGACUCUGAUGAUAACAGGACACUAAUCACCCUUUUUCCUUGCUCAGGGAGACGGAUGGGAGAAGUUUGCUGCUCCCACAGACAGUGUAAUAGUGAGAUUUGCUUUGCUUAACAUAGUUAAUACUCAUAAAAGCCUGCAGCACUCCAGGCUAUUUGCUAGAACAGCUGUGAAGAUUUUUAUGGAGAUGUAUUAGAGACAUUCAGAUGCUGGUUUGAUGGGAGAGAUGUAAAAAAAUCAUAUUUGGUUUGUUGUUUGGGGAGAAUGAUGGAAAAUUCUACAACCAUCUGCUGAAGAUCAGGUACUUGGGUGAUGACCCUGCUGCACUGCACCCCUGUUCCGCAGGGAAUUCGGGGGCCAGGCUCUCUCCUGGCUCUCUCCUGGCUCGAGCUGAUGCCUUGGAGCCACUUGGUGCUGAACAGCAGCGUCCCCCAGCUCCCUGUGACUCCUCAGAUGGCUUUUACUGAACUCAGCAGCUCUGCCCGUGGCUGUCAGCAGCUCUGAAUUUAGCUUUGUGUGUGCAGAGAAGCAAUAAAAGGAAAUCAAAUGUUAAUCAAACAGCAAGCAUGCACCACUUCGGGCCAACUGUGAUAUUCAGAUGUGCCCUGAAUAGCUUCUUGCCCCAGACAAAGCUCAUCAUCCCUACCAGAACUUCUCGUUGUGCAGCCUCUGAUUCCAGCAAGAGCGGUAGUUUCCCCUCAGUAAAAUGUGUCUCCUGCCACUUCUUUGAGAGCCUCCCCAUCCCUUUAGGAAACAUUAAAGCUGACCCCAGGAGAAUUCAGCUUACUCAGUCCAUGGAUUCCAUCAAGGAGAGAGGUGCUGAUGGCUACGCUGACCUGCCGUGUUAAGACAGCAGCUCAGUCCAGCAGCCAUCCCUCAGGCUCCCAAGGGGAGUGCCCCACAGUUGAAAUUGCAAGGGAUAAGUGGAAAACUGUGGUGUUUCCUGACAGUAUUUAGGAAUGGACACAUCCUGAAACAUCCCCCUGGAUGUUCACUCGGCUGAAUGAGGCUCCAUGACUUUGCUUUUGGAGCUGGACCAUGAACACAAUUGGGCAUGGGGGUUUGCUGUUGGCAGUGUGAUUUGGCCUGAGGGAGGUGUUUCUACUGAGCCGAGUUUCCAAGUUUCUUCCCAGUGGGAAGGCAGAUUUUCCUCUGCAUGUCUCCACCAAACAGGCCUCUCCCAGGCUUCACCAUGAGCAUCCCACACCACAGGCAGUCUCCAGCAAUGGUGUCUGCUGCUGAAACAACCCCGUGCAAAGCAGCGACCAAAUGAGGAUAACACUUGGAAUCCACACAAGGAUCCCCAACAGAAAAGGAGGAAAGACACAGCAGAAUCUCCAGGGUCUGUCACAGAGGCAAGAAACUGCCUGUGCCUGGGACUUUUUCCAUGUCCGGGCUGGACUCUGUGCUCAGGAGGGAAGGAAAACCAGCAUCUUGUUCUUAAUGACGGCCUCCGUUUCUGGAGGUUAACACCGCUCCUCUCUGCUGAUCCUGCAGGAUCUUUUCAAAUGUUCAUUUAGCUCUGCCAAUGCUAUUUAUGUGAUCACUUCAGAUUGCAAGAAAAAAGCUCAAUUUGUGACGUUAAUUAAGGAGCUGGGGAGGGAAGAAGUCUUGUUUUCACUGCCUGGUAUGGAGAAAAAUUUCGGAGCGUGGCUGAAGCCUGAGGGUGCACUGGGAACGGGGCUGCCACAAUCUCAGGAUGUGGGGCAGUGAUGUCCAUGUCCUCCCUGCUACAGAGGACACGGCUCCUCCCAGUACAAACACCAGGGCAGAAGAACCCCCUGGACUCCAAAGUCCAUCAUCACCCACCCAAUGUGCACAGAGCCUCCUGCAGGGCUGGAAAUGGGACUGCUUCAGGUCAGCGUCCCCAUCCCGACCACCACCAAGUCUGGAAGCCGCGUCUCAGCCUGCUCAGCAGCAGUGAGCUCUCCUGUGAGGCAGAGACUGCAUCACUGCAUCAUCUGCCCUCUCAAUAAAAUCUGUGUGCUGCUCCAUCUUCAGAAGGCACCAAGAACUGAAUCUACCAACCCAUGCCAGCCUGGGUGCCACAAAUUAAACCCCCCUCCAGUGGGCCAGUGGUGGCUCCAGCACCCUUCCAACCCCCUGCUGUUCAAAAGCUCAGGAAUUGCUCUCCUCCCCUUUUUUGCAUUGCUGUUGAUAUUCUAAAAUACCACAAGAAAGUCUUGGCCUCUGUCAGUUUAAGCCCAUCCCCCCUGUCCUGUCACUCUGUGGCUCCCAAGUGUCUCCUCCUCGAGUGCCCCCAAGGUGGAAGGUUCGCUCUCCCUCUGCCGCCCUGUCCAGCCACCCAGGGAGAGAUUGCACCUCCAAUAAAUGCCCUCAGUUUCACUCUGUCCUGUAAAAUGUUGGAAAAUCAGGGCCUUUUCUCUCUUCAUUUGUGAACAAACCCUGCUGGCUCUGGCUAACAGCUCCUGGAGUCAUCUGGUGGCACCUUCUAGACAUCCAUGAGCUUUCAAUCGUGCGCACCGCUGCCCCGAAGGAUUGCUCUCCUCUGAGGCUGGUCUGCAGCUCUUCUCCAUCCUUCCUGCGUUUUUCACUGCUCACAAGACAAUGUUAACAGCCCUUCUCAAGUACUGCCUGUUUACAGGAGAGAUUUUUCCAGAUGUAAUUCACUACCGGGUGCCUGAAGAUGCCUAAAAGUUAUUUAAUCUCUGCAUUAAAAUACAUACAUAUCUGCAGUAUCCUUGUCCAAAUUAAAUCUGAGCUGCUCACUCCAAGCCAGCCCUCCACCAUUAGAAGGAAUGCAUUAAGAAGGCGAGGGGGAGGUGAAAAGCUCAAUUCAGGGCAAUGGGAGCUGUUCCACUGACUUCUGCCAGUGAUGCAGCUGCACAAUAAAGAAAAUAGAACACAGCAGCAGCCCCCAGCCAGUGGGGCAGGGACCUCCUGGCAGCCCCACAUCCCCUCCUGGCUCUCUGCACACCGAGAGGGUCACAGCAUCCAGGCUUUGCUCAGACAAUCCCAAGUAUCUGCAGCCUUGGAGUCUCAUGGAUGCAGGGGCCCCACUCGAGUUCCCUAAAUUGUGAGCUGGCACCCAGUGACAGAGACUGAUUUAGGCCUCGCUGCUUUGCACUGCAGUUAGAAAAAUACUCAUGGCUCGUUAUCCGUCUUAAUCAGCAGCAGCAAACAAAUGAGGGACAGGGAGACAUCCAGAAGGGAAUACACCACAUUACUCCUCCUUAUUGAUAGCACAGUUACUUAAUUUGAUGUAGAGACGUAACUUCAGGCAUCACUAAAUACUGGAGCAGGGACGUUUUGGUGCAGGGAAGAUCUAUGGGUGCAAUUUAAAAGCUGUCUGUUUGGGAGCGCUGACGUCCAUGGGCGCCGAUACCGAUCCCAGCUCCACGGACAGGCUGGACACCAUCCCUCACCAAGACAAAUGAAGACAGUGUCCCUUCCACGGCUAAAAUCCAGCAGCUGAAAAUGGUGGAGCCCCACUCCACUCCAUCUGCUGUGCUUGCAGGAUGAGCUGCACAACACGGGACCAAGCCCAAGGCUGAGCACAGAAUCCCAGAAUGGUUUGGGUUGGGAAGGACCUUAAAGCUCAUCCACCUCCACCCCCUGCCAUGGGCAGGGACACCUUCUGCUGGACCAGGCUGCUCCAAGCCCUGCCCAACCUGACCUUGGACCCUUCCAGGGAUGGAGCAGCCACAGCUUCCAGUGUCUGAUGGCUUCUGGAUGGUCAUGCCCAACCCACCCUGCCCGUGCUGGGGCAGCAGAGCUCUGGCUCAGACCUUUGGCUCAGCUCCCUCGGGGAAGGCAGCAUGGAGGUGGUGGAGCAAGGCUCAUGAUCUGGGCACACCAAAGAAAAUAAUGCCAGCAGGACAUUUCCCACUGCUUCAGAUGAUGCCUCCCCAUAUGGACAUUUCCCCCAGUCCUGUGCACCCAGCCCCUCUGUUUCUGAUCCCAAGUGCACCAAAAUCAAAGCUCAGAGCAUAUCCAAGUGCACUUGGAGCUCCCUGCAAAACCUCCCGCCCCAGUCUGCCCGUUUGGCUGCGUUUCUAACCCAGCUGUGGCUUAGGGGCUGCUGGCCAGCAGGGUUGGGAACUGCUGCAGUGCAAAUUAACAGGUAUCAAAUUCAUAGCCCUUAUUCACUCUGCUGACUCAUACACCCGAACGGGGGCAGCCUUGAAGGGAAACCGAGCGAGCUUCACCCGGCUGGAAGAGCCAGCACAUGGAUCAGCUCCAGACAGCACAAGAGCAACUCCCAGUGCUUCAGACUCCUCUGCAAAUCCAGGGCUUUUCUCCCUCCUUUUAGUGUAAAAUACAGGUUGGCAUUUUCAAAGUCACCUAUGGGAUUUACAUACCAAAUUCCUCUUCAUUUUAAAAGGAUCUGUGUGUGCAAAUACCUUGAUCAGCACUGAAAAGUUUAGUGUAUGGUAAAAAAAGGACAAAGGCAAAGGGUCCAGCACUGCAUAGGCAGGAACUGUGCAUCCAAAGCAGGAUUUCUGAACCAGGUUUUACUGUGCACACUCUGGGCUGCAGCAGGAAAAUCGUGACACCUCGAAGCCAGCAGUACCCAUGUAUUAAGGGAGAAAUGUGUGUUUCAGCAUUUACCUGAGCAAACAAACAGGAUUAGCUCUUAAAAAUCUUUUUGCAGACAGUGUAAAGCUUUGGGAGAAUACCAUAGAUUUUUUUAUUUUUAAAUGCAGGUAGAUUGUAAUUGUGGGCAAUGAAAGCUACUCUGAGGUAAUUUCAACCUUUCAGGUAAGUAACAGGCUUUCAAAAAGUUGUCUAAAUAGAAACUUUCCAAAAUUAAUUCCAACAGCACUGAAGGCACAUUAAUUUCUUUAAUGGUUCAAACAUAGCGUGGGGUGAGAUGGGUUUUUUGAGCUGGUAUCAAACAGAUUAAUUUAAAAUAAAUCCAUUAACAGAACUACCAUUAAACUACUGCAUCAGCUAACAAUGUUACCAAUAAAAUCAACAGCCAAAGGGAGGAAAAGUUGGACCUUCCAGAGACUAAACCUUUGGCUGAAGAGAAAUAAAAAUAGAAAUGCAUGCAUGGUGUGCUGUAGUGUUUGUGCAGCCACAGCUCUUGGUGCAUGCAGGCAUGGGAGGACGCCCCCACCUAGGGAAAGAAGAUCCCAAAGCACCAGGCCCGUGCUCCCUGCCCAGGCAUCUCCACUCAAAGGCAAAGGUUCACAACCAAAGAAUAACAAGCGGGACCUCUUCCCUGGGUCUUGUGAGCUUUCAGCCAACUUAUUCGCCUAUUGGUUGCGCUUCGUGUGAAAAUAUAAUGAUUUUUAUGGCCCACUUUAACAUUUUUAUGUCUUUUUUCCUUCAGAAAAAAAAUCCCACAUUUGGUGUAAGAAUUAAAACAGUAUUUCAUGCUUAACUGCAAUCACAGAUGAUGUAUGGAAGAGAGCUGGCUUCAUGUCAACCCAAUAUAAAGCCAGAAUUGAAUCUAACUUGGUCACUACAGCUGUGCCAUGUUUUAUGGGGUGAGGGGAUUUUUUCAGAUCAGUCAUAAAUGAAAUGGAAGCUGUGACUGGGCUCAUUUUGUAUCAAACAGGAGCAAAAAAAUGUGGGGAAGAACCAGGAUAGCCACACAUUUGUCUGAGCUGUUCCACUAGAGGUGGAGCGUGCUGCAAACCCAACCCAGUGCUGCAGUGGAACCGGUGCCUGUUGGCACAAAGGCCCUGCCAGGACAGUGAGGGUUCCUGAGCCAUGGGGAGCCCCGUGCUGGGGAUCAGCCCGCAGCUCCUGUCUGGAAAGCACCAUCCCUGCACUCCAGGUCCCUGUGGGAUGGGCUCAGCUGAUGGAAAAUGCCCUCAGGCCUUUCUGCCCUCAUGGUGUGAAUGCGAUGCCCUGAGGGCACCAGCACGGCCCCUCUUGGUUUCCCACCCGGAGACUGUUCCGAUGGUGGUUUUGAAUGUGAGGCUGUGUUAGAAAUGGGAUUUCCAAGCAAAGAUAAAACUUUCCAUGUAAGGAAGGAGCUGCUGUGGAAACCCUUUCUUCCUGCUCUUGGCUUGUGUUUGGGUUGUUGGGUUUUCUGCUGCUGACUUUGAGCAGGACCCGUCUCCUGCUGCCUUCACCACCAUUCCCAGCCUUGGGACCUCCCUGAUGAUGGGCACAGAAAUGACGGCCACGGGCAGGUAAGACCCACGUGAAAGGGGAAUUUAAUGUUAAAAGUUGAAGUCAGUCCACAAAGGUUCCCCUUGCAGUCAAAGGCUGGAUCUUCUGGAGGGUGUUUUACAGCAUCAGCCUUUGGAUCUGCCUGUUCUCAUCCCUAUAAAUUUAGGAUGGGCUGCAGUGGCAAAGCUCCCAUUUCUAUGCAAAUCCAUACCAAUGAUGGAUUACAUGUAGAAAUGGAACAGCACAAUGGCAGAAACAGCAUUUCUUGGUUUAUGUGGGGAAUUUAAUUACCUGCCUGUGGCACAGAAAAGGAAAAUCAGGAACACAUCUUCCCUGACCCCACCCCAACCAUUAAGCCUGCCUAAGAGAGACAGGACAUGGCACUGCUGUGCCAAAAUCUGCAUCCCCUGAGGAAACAGGAGGAGGAGGGAAUGGAAGGGGCAGGGCAGGAUGUGUGGUUGGAUCUUGAGGACACACGUGGGGAGACCAAAGCACUGCAAGGACGGGCGCACCUCGGUCUGAUGGACAGAAGAGACAAGCACAGGUUGGUGUUUGUGGAAUAAACAGGCCCCUGAACCCUUCUGCUGGGAUCUGCCCUGAUUUCUCCAGGAGCUGCAGAAGCAGCUGUAAUCCAUGUUUUGUCCCAGGUUUUGCUCUUCAGCUCCCUGAAUUAUUGGUACCCAUGGCAUUUCCAGGAGGCUUUCAGAUGGUGCCGUGCAGAGUCCGGCUGGUGAUAGAAAUAAAAUGAGUGGUGCUGGUUUUGCACAGUUGCAUUUAGUGAAAUCACCCAAUGAAAAGAGGAAGGUCCUCUCCUUUGCUCAUAACUCUGGGUGUCACCACGAACGGCAUAGCCACAGAGCACACGGGCCUUUAUACUCUGUGCUGGUGUGCUGGGACAGGACAGUUAUUCUGUGAGGAAACAGCUGGGAAUUAUCAAAGGCUGUGGAAAAAUUACGGUGUUUACAUGAGGUUCUGCAUCCCUCCUGCCCAAAUGUCCCUAAUGCUCUGUUACCCUUCUCUGCAAUCUGCUUUUAUUGCUUAACUCCUGGAUGAAACUCCUGCUCACCUCUGGACUCAGUGGCACCACAGAUCUGAACAGCUCACAGCCUGUUAUCCUCCCACAUUCCCCGGGACAGGGAAGUGCACUGGGCAAACCGAGGCACGGGGCAGUGCGGACUCCUGAGGGGAUGCGGGUUAUUCAAAUUAAACCCAAAACCGCAGUGGACUUGCAGCAACAGGAAGCUUUGAGGCUGCAAACUGCCUCCUCAAGUGUGAUGGGAAUUGGUUCACACCUUAUGGCAGAGGGAAGGAACUGUGGGACAGGGUGGCAAAGUGAUGGACAAUGACUUCCAAAAUUUCCCCAAUUCUGAGUGUUCCCACACUCUUCAGCUGCCCUUCCCUGCCUUGUUUUCUGCACAUUCAUUUUGUGCCUUAGGGGUUUUUUUAAGCCAGAAGGGGGAUUUAGACAUUAAAACAGCUACUGACCUGAUACGAGUUAAUGAUUUUAUAAAACCCCUAAAAAAUGCUUUACUUUAAAAGAUUGAUGUUUCCUAUUGUAUUUUUUCAAUGCCAAUUAAUUACUUAAUUCAUUAGCAAUGUAACACAGGAAUAGUCUUUGAAAAUCUGCUGCUUUGUGUAGAUGCCUUUAAUUAUGGAUAAUUAAAUACUGUGGAAGGACCUCAUUACACCUCUGAGCAUUUUCUAAUCUGGAAAAUGAAACACACUCCUGUACUCCUGAACACAUGAAAUAAAAGCUGAGCCCAACAGCCACAGGAAGUGAAAAAAGAUGGGAAAACAAACACCCCCAAAGCCAGAACCACUCCAAACCCUGCAACUAAAGGAGGGUGGAAAUGCCCAGGGAGGCUGGAAGGCUUUGUGCAUGCCCUGACACAGGACUGGACCCAGACCCUGCCUUGCUGGGGUCCAAGGAGGAGCCCAGGUGUGCUCAGUGUGCAGCUGCUGCAAACACGGGCCCAAACUGUGAACAGAACUCGCUGUCAGCACUUGCUAAAGCUGGGAACAGAUUUCCAGAUGGGCCCCUGUACACAUGGCAGCAACAGCCAAAACGGCCACAAAGAGCAAAGCAUAAUCACAGCUGACCCUGGAAGAGGAAAACCUGCCAAUGGCAGAAGUUAUGCUGUUGGUUUCUUUCUGUUUCAGAGUUUUA